CGGAAAAGUCUCCGAAUUGGAUCUAGGUUUUGGCUACCCCACCAUUGUCAGGCAUCCCGAGCGCGUUCCCGAAGUCGGAAUCGGCAAAGGUGAGCCGGGACAGCCUUCUUCCUCCGCCCAGCCGCCACAGUAAUUUGUCGUCAAGUUUGUGAGUAAAAUAUUAAUUUUAAUUGUAAUUUCGAUAUUAUUAUAUGUUCAGCAUGCCCAUGCAUCACUUAUAUGCAUAUAUUUAUGUAGUUAAACUCUAGGCACGAUUUAUGUUGCAUUCAUAACUGUUAAUGUGCCAUGAGUGUUGUUGUGGUAAUUUGGAGCAGUGUGCGUGCGUUGGCGUGCGUGUGAUGUGGUGUGGACUAUGGAUAGGACGGGGUAGUCACGGCUUGAGUUCUUCGCUGGGACCCGUUCCUUCGAGGGGUAGUCACGGCUUGAGUUCUUCGCUGGGACCAGGUUGGAUUUAAGAGAGCUGUAUAGGGGAUCAGCUCCCAAUAUAUUAUGAUUGAUGCUACAGGGUGCGUGAGUGCUCCAAAUUACCUUUUUGAUGCUAUGAUGUGAAUAUGAUGUUGAUGUUGCAUUUCACUCUACAGGGUGCAUUAGUUACAGAUAGUUAUAGAGAUUAUGGUUAAAAUUGAUAUUUUACUCUCUGAGUCGAACGCUCACUCCUGUUCAAAAAUUUUUACAGGCCGCAGGAGGAUAUUUUAUUCUGGGUUAACCUGCUUUUAUACUUCGCAGGUUGUUUAUCGAUAUUUGUGUAAUUUUAUGUACUCCUAGAAUUUCCGCAUGUGUUAGCAGUAAUUAUUUGAAUUUGGUCUGUAAUAUUAUUAUCAUGUUGGACCUGUAAACUUAAUAUUCUAUGUCUGUUUGAUGGAUUGGAUGAGGGAGCUGAGCUCCCAUUUAUUAUUA
Molecule: long non-coding RNA, 897 nt
Organism: Hevea brasiliensis (rubber tree)
Lineage: Eukaryota; Viridiplantae; Streptophyta; Magnoliopsida; Malpighiales; Euphorbiaceae
Exons: 2
Source: RefSeq, a predicted model, not a curated record